CACGGCGUUCCAGCGCGAAGGCCGGGAGCUGGGGCACUUGCUGCCCUACGCCCAGAAGUGGAACGCCGCGGACGUGUCUGCGGCGACCCGCGGCCUGGGCAAGGCCGGCUGCCUGCGCCUGACCCUGCUGGUAACCGGUGCGCAGAGGAGCACUUUAUGCGGCUGCGGCGGGCCGUCAAAGAGCUGGACAGCGCGUGGUUCGAUGCCACGAACAACAUGAUGACCACGGCUGACGCUCGGAAGAUCCUCUUUGAGGAGCUUCUUUGGGAGCACCGGGACCUCGCUGAGGCACACAGCAAGUGCCAAGCUAUCCCGGAAGCUUCUAUUGAGGCCCUCAGGAAGCAGCUUGCCGCCGCCCAAG
This is a long non-coding RNA of Lolium perenne, 361 nucleotides long. RefSeq lists it as uncharacterized. Lineage: Eukaryota; Viridiplantae; Streptophyta; Magnoliopsida; Poales; Poaceae. The record is from RefSeq and is a predicted model, not a curated record.